RNAcentral lists this transfer RNA (71 nucleotides) under Prochlorococcus sp. RNAcentral describes it as "tRNA-Asn". It matches the Rfam family "tRNA". Rfam says of the family: Transfer RNA (tRNA) molecules are approximately 80 nucleotides in length. The record is from RNAcentral. Lineage: Bacteria; Bacillati; Cyanobacteriota; Cyanophyceae; Synechococcales; Prochlorococcaceae.
CCUCGGUAGCUCAGCGGUAGAGCGGUCGACUGUUAAUCGAUUGGUCGCAGGUUCGAAUCCCGCCCGGGGAG